Molecule: RNA transcript, 3933 nt
Organism: Centrocercus urophasianus (Greater sage-grouse)
Lineage: Eukaryota; Metazoa; Chordata; Aves; Galliformes; Phasianidae
Gene: NFYC
Gene name: nuclear transcription factor Y subunit gamma
Exons: 7
Source: RefSeq, a predicted model, not a curated record
CUUCCAGCAUGUCUACAGAUGGCAGCUUCGGCACAGGCAGCAGCAGCGAUGCCCAGCAGAGCCUGCAGUCCUUCUGGCCCCGCGUCAUGGAGGAGAUCCGCAACCUCACAGUGAAAGACUUCAGGGUUCAGGAGCUGCCCCUGGCUCGGAUUAAGAAGAUAAUGAAACUGGAUGAAGAUGUGAAGAUGAUUAGUGCUGAGGCCCCUGUGUUAUUCGCCAAGGCAGCUCAGAUAUUCAUAACAGAACUGACGUUGCGAGCCUGGAUCCACACAGAAGACAACAAGCGCAGGACUCUGCAGAGGAACGACAUUGCCAUGGCAAUUACAAAGUUUGAUCAAUUUGACUUUCUGAUUGACAUCGUCCCAAGAGAUGAGCUGAAGCCUCCAAAGCGUCAGGAAGAGGUACGUCAGGCUGUGACCCCGGCUGAACCCGUGCAGUAUUAUUUCACCCUUGCUCAGCAGCCUGCUGCAGUGCAGGUCCAGGGGCAGCAGCAAGGACAGCAGACCACGACAUCUACAACCACCAUCCAGCCGGGGCAGAUCAUCAUCGCACAGCCUCAGCAGGGGCAGGUGGGAGAAGGCCAGCAGGUGCAGAUUGUGCAGGCCCAGCCGCAAGGACAGAGCCAGCAGGCGCAGAGCGGGACGGGGCAGACCAUGCAGGUGAUGCAGCAGAUCAUCACCAACACGGGGGAGAUCCAGCAGAUCCCGGUAAGCCGUCGUGGGGCUGGGAGUGAGGUGUCUGCAGCUGCUUCAGCGUGGGGCUGCGUGUGUUUGUGUGCCUUCAGAGCUGUGCAAGGAGGUUAGGGCUGCGCGCGUUUCCUGCGCCGGGAGAGAAAACGAGCCGGGUGUGACAUGAAGGGGGAAAUAAACUGAGGCCGUGCAGUGCCAGCACCACUGCUACCCACGGGUGGAAUAGAGUUAUUAGGAGGCAGGACAGAAAGCACUUCCUGCAUAAAUUAGUUCUCCACGACAGCGUGCUUGCAGUAAAACCUAAUUAACCUGUGUUGCCUUUACUCGGUUCUGCCUCUGCAACCCGGAGCCACGGCCUGUCGGACCGAGUGGGAAAAGUGCUGCCUGUGAGUCAUUAACCAACUCCUACGUUGCAAAAAAGCAUUUCUACAACGUAGUUUGAGCUGAUGGCAGGGAUGGCUUUGUGCUACCAGGAGAUUUCUUCUCACUUUCACGUUAACGUAAGGCUGCUGUGCCCUAAGAAUGGGAUUUUGAGUACACAGCGAGCCGAGAAUUCUGGCACGUGUCCUGGGUAAACGCGUGGCUCCCAAAAUGUCAUUUUCCCCCUCUUUGUAGCUUGGAAUGACAACAAAGCUGAGCCUUUUGGUUCCCACCUGAAAAAUUUCACACGCCUUAAAAUAAAAAUGGAUAAAAUCCUUCCAGUUCCACGCACUCAACCAGCAGCACUGGGGUCAGACAGGUGACCACGAUGAGCGCUUCGCUUUGUCUGUGAUUCCUCUUGCUGUUAGGAGGCUGAGCAGCUGCGCAGAGCUGAUCUCACACAGGCUGAGGUUUGCUCAGCAUCCCUUUGGCAGAUGUUUGUGCUUUGACAGAGCAUCUCGAGGAAAGCGAAGGCUCUGCGUGCUGCCACAUUCUCCCAGUUCACUUCCCUCUUCUCAUCUCUGCAAUCCUCAGCUGAUUCCUACACCAGGUGUUGAUCAGGAGGGACAAGACUGCUUGCCAAACGUGCUGCUUUACCACCAGCAGCCUUUUUCCUUCUCCACGUUCUUCACCGCCUUUCUCUUGCAUUUUUGUCCUCCUUUUCUUAAUGGGAGUCUCUCUUGGAUGCUUCUUAAAAGCAUUUUGGAUAGAGAUCUCUACCCCUGCCUGGGUGAAUCUGGCAUAACAGAGCAGCAAUAAAAGAAGUUCAGGCUUGUUUUGCAGUCAUCCCCAGUGCAAGCUGUAAGUCCCUGUAGGAAAGCGACCUGGAGAUUUGCAGGGGAAAGAAUUCUUUAUAAAGCAGCUUUGGAAGGGGCUGAAGCAUUCUGCAGGAAAUGCCAUUCUCCACCCAGGUGAUGCUGUUUUAAUUGAUGGCGUGCUUUAUGAACGAGCCACUGGAGGCUUUUUAAUUAGCACCUGCUUUUGGCCAGGAGAAUUCUUCCACCUCAUCUUGCCUGGCAGCACUGGGGCUCGUGGCCAUCCCCAGGCACUGCUGGGGUUGCAGUUGGGAUGGAGCUGCCUGAGUGGGCAUCUGUUGUGCUGGGGAUGCUUGGGCUCCUCGUGAGCGUAAGGCGAUAAAGCAGAGUACCUCAGGAGGGGUGUUACAGUGAAAUACAGUUCUCACUCCAGUACCUAGGAGAAGUGCUGCCUUGACAGUAAUUAAUGUGAUUCCUCUUAAUUGCAGCAUGUUGAAGAACCACAGCCUGUGCUGGAGGAAACACCUUUCCCUUUGCUUCCAGCAAAUGAAAUGCAGCAGAGCAGGAGCCACACGGCCAGCAUGAGAGCAGAGUGCCUGGGAGCACGCUGUGUGGAUCCACAGUUACAGUCCUUGCUCUGCUCACUGCUGCUCUCUGUUCUGCUCUCUUUCUGCUCCUCUUUUAUCCUUUCUCCCCUAAAUCUCCUUCCUGUCUUGGUGCAGUCAGUGUUACCUUCUGGCAGCUCUUUUCACUCCGCUCUCUGGUAGCGUUCAGCUCCAAAUCUUCCUUAACACAAACGCAAAAGGCUGAAACACAGAGCUGGUAGCAUCUGCCAGCAUAGGAGUGGUGGGAGAACGGCCUCAAACAAACGGAGUAGAGCUGGAAGGAAGGCAGGAAAUGCAUCCAUUACAGAGCAGCCGUUUGUUUGCCCACGUGAAUUCUGUGUUCAAUUUCAUCCAUGCCUUCGCCUUGACCUCGCGGGGCGAAUCUUUGGAGGUUGCCCUCAUUUCUGGAGGAACUGUGUGUGAAUUGCUUCCAUCGCUGCUGGGAGCGUGGUUGAGAUGGAAGCAGGACGCUGCAGUGUGGAGAACUUGCUCAGCAGGCAGAGCUCAGUGCAGAAAUGGAGUCUUUGCUGAGAUGUGUGCUUGCGUGGGGUCCAUUUGCUCAUGAAGUAACGUUGGUGGGUUCAGCAGUGGGAGGCAGCAGGGCUGUGUGCCAGCAGCUCCUGGUCCCUGAGCGGUGCUCAGGUGCUCUGCACGCCUUCCUUGCCCCUCCUUAAAAACAAAAAGCACCUCAAAGUGUUUUGGAUGUAAGGCACCGUAAGGCUGUGAACCAAAACGUUCUGAAGUUCAGCAGCGCAGCACCAGGAGCUCGAUGGCAGUCAGCCACGUGGGGACCUUUCCAUCGCCUCUCGGCGUGUCCCACCAGCUGCCUCUGUCACAGACUGAGAGCUGAGGGCACUAAGAUGGCUCUGCUCAGACCCCUCUCCCCAGGCAUCCAAGAUCCAGGCUGUAGGAAAUAAAUGAACUUGCAUUGGAAUGUGACACAGCGCCGACACGAAGCGUUGGCUUUGCCAGCACGCAGUAGGAGUGUCAUGACGUGCAGCUAGCUCGGAGGAGCCUCUGUGUGUGAGAUGAAAGGCAGAGCAGUCGCUGCAUUCUGGUGACUGAGAGGGAAAACAAGUGUUACAGUGCUCCAAAACGUAGCACUCAAUAAGCUCUAGCUACUAACUGGCCUUUUGUCCUGGAGAAGGAAGCGUUGUGCUUCUUCAGGUUCUCCUUGCAGAGCCUGGAGGAGUUCUGGGGACUUGGCUCUUGCCCUGUGCUAAUUCCUCUCCCCCACCGCUGCCUGGCUGGAGCUCCCCAGUCUCAUCUGUUACCCGGCUUCUGUUGUGGAAACGAGAAGGCAAGUUGGUGUGUUUCAGGUUACACAGUUACCUGUUUAAUUUUCUUUCCCUGCCCCCUCCGCUUGUCUCCAGGUUCAGUUGAAUGCUGGCCAGCUGCAGUAUAUCCGCUUAGCCCAGCCUGUGUCAGGCACCCAGGUAGUCCAGGGGCAGAUCCAGACGCUUG